Molecule: ribosomal RNA, 483 nt
Filed under: uncultured bacterium
Lineage: Bacteria
Description: partial 16S ribosomal RNA
Rfam family: Bacterial small subunit ribosomal RNA
Source: RNAcentral
AUUGAACGCUGGCGGCAUGCUUUACACAUGCAAGUCGAACGGCAGCGCGGGCUUCGGCCUGGCGGCGAGUGGCGAACGGGUGAGUAAUGCAUCGGAACGUGCCCAGUAGUGGGGGAUAGCCCGGCGAAAGCCGGAUUAAUACCGCAUACGACCUGAGGGUGAAAGCGGGGGACCGAAAGGCCUCGCGCUAUUGGAGCGGCCGAUGUCGGAUUAGCUAGUUGGUGGAGUAAAGGCUUACCAAGGCGACGAUCCGUAGCUGGUCUGAGAGGACGACCAGCCACACUGGGACUGAGACACGGCCCAGACUCCUACGGGAGGCAGCAGUGGGGAAUUUUGGACAAUGGGGGCAACCCUGAUCCAGCCAUGCCGCGUGCGAGAAGAAGGCCUUCGGGUUGUAAACCGCUUUUGUUCGGGAAGAAAUCCUCUGGGCUAAUACCCCGGGGGGAUGACGGUACCGGAAGAAUAAGCACCGGCUAACUACGU